Molecule: ribosomal RNA, 612 nt
Filed under: Triticum aestivum (bread wheat)
Lineage: Eukaryota; Viridiplantae; Streptophyta; Magnoliopsida; Poales; Poaceae
Description: partial small subunit ribosomal RNA
Source: RNAcentral
AUGUCCGCUUAUGCGGGGUGCUGGAUCAUUGAAAUGGAUGUGCCAGUUGAAUCUUCUUUGCUGCCUGAAAGCUUUGCAACCGAUGAAAUACCUGGGCAAGUAUUCGAGACCACAUUAGAUUUGGAUGAUGGUUUCCUUGACAAACCGAGGAGCAGUUUGGUUUCGGUCAGAGGGGGAUUUAUAUAUUUCACGUCUGUAGUUUUCACUAAUGCAUUCCAAUCUUCAAUCAAAUUUAUACUCCAUGCUUGCAUGGAAGAAAAUAUCCAAUUUCUUCAGUACGCUAAAGUGCAGGGAGAGCUUACAUUAAUUGUAGGAGAUUUCCCCACUGGAUACACUAUUUUCAAAAACAAGGUUGAGGAUGAUGCUGUGGAUUUCAUGACCUGCAAUCCCUGCAGAGACGAUUGUAGAGCGUUCGAGCUUCCCUUAACUCGGGUCAUUCUUGCUUUACCCAUUGGAUAUCGUGUACGUGUUACGGGGAAUUUGUCGGUGGGACAUAUGAGAAUGGUUGUAGAUCAGUAUUUGGUGCUCGACAGGAAUAUUGUACUGGUUGAAUGGGCAGUGGAUCAAUUUUUUGAUGCUACUAUAUGCAUCGAGUCAACUUCUUUUUUCUAG